Molecule: non-coding RNA, 119 nt
Organism: Lepisosteus oculatus (spotted gar)
Lineage: Eukaryota; Metazoa; Chordata; Actinopteri; Semionotiformes; Lepisosteidae
Source: Rfam
AAAAGCAGCCAUAUCACACUGCAACUCACAACUGGCAACCCACUGAAGCCAAGCCGGUGUGAGCCUGGCCAGUACCUGGAUGGGAGACCUCCUGGGACAAACUAAGGUUGCUGCUGGAA